This 497-nucleotide ribosomal RNA is filed under the name uncultured bacterium. RNAcentral's name for it is "partial 16S ribosomal RNA". It matches the Rfam family "Bacterial small subunit ribosomal RNA", at positions 28 to 507 of the family's 1533-position model. The record is from RNAcentral.
GAUGAACGCUGGCGGCGUGCCUAAUACAUGCAAGUCGAGCGAACAGACGAGGAGCUUGCUCCUCUGAUGUUAGCGGCGGACGGGUGAGUAACACGUAGGUAACCUACCUAUAAGACUGGGAUAACUUCGGGAAACCGGAGCUAAUACCGGAUAAUAUUUCGAACCGCAUGGUUCGAUAGUGAAAGAUGGCUUUGCUGUCACUUAUAGAUGGACCUGCGCCGUAUUAGCUAGUUGGUAAGGUAACGGCUUACCAAGGCAACGAUACGUAGCCGACCUGAGAGGGUGAUCGGCCACACUGGAACUGAGACACGGUCCAGACUCCUACGGGAGGCAGCAGUAGGGAAUCUUCCGCAAUGGGCGAAAGCCUGACGGAGCAACGCCGCGUGAGUGAUGAAGGUCUUCGGAUCGUAAAACUCUGUUAUUAGGGAAGAACAAACGUGUAAGUAACUGUGCACGUCUUGACGGUACCUAAUCAGAAAGCCACGGCUAACUACGUG